RNAcentral lists this ribosomal RNA (497 nucleotides) under uncultured bacterium. Its description in RNAcentral is "partial 16S ribosomal RNA". It matches the Rfam family "Bacterial small subunit ribosomal RNA", at positions 29 to 507 of the family's 1533-position model. The record is from RNAcentral.
AAUGAACGCUGGCGGCAUGCCUAAUACAUGCAAGUCGAGCGAGCCGACGGGGAGCUUGCUCCUCUGACGUUAUCACCGGACGGGUGAUUCACACAUGGAUAACCUACCUAUCCGACUGGGGUAACUUCGGGAAACCGUAGCUAAUACCGGAUAAUAUAUUGAACCGCAUGGUUCAAUAGUUAAAGACGGUUUUUCUUACACUUAUAGCUUAAUCCGCGCCGCAUGAGCUAGUUGGUAAGGUAACGGAUUAGCAAGGCAACGAGGGGUAGACGACCUGAACGCGUGGUCGGCCAGACUGGAACUGAGGCACGGCCCAGACACCUGCGGGAGGCAGCAGUAGGGAAUCCUCCGCGAUGGGGGAAAGCCUGACGGAGCAACGCCGGGUGAGUCAUGAAGGACUUCGGAUCGUAAAACGCUGUUAGUAGGGAAGAACAAAUGUGUAAGUAACUAUGCACGUAUUGACGGUACCUAAUCAGAAAGCCACGGCUAACUACGUG